RNAcentral lists this microRNA precursor (103 nucleotides) under Marmota monax (woodchuck). The record is from RNAcentral. Lineage: Eukaryota; Metazoa; Chordata; Mammalia; Rodentia; Sciuridae.
AAUGGGAUAGCUGGGUCAAAUGGUGGUUCCAUUCCAAGUUUUCUGAGGAAUCUCCAUACCACUUUCCAUAAUGGUUGCACCAAUUUGUAGUCCUACCAGCAAU